Long non-coding RNA from Coregonus clupeaformis (lake whitefish), 2078 nucleotides. RefSeq lists it as uncharacterized. The transcript is spliced from 9 exons. Lineage: Eukaryota; Metazoa; Chordata; Actinopteri; Salmoniformes; Salmonidae. The record is from RefSeq and is a predicted model, not a curated record.
GCAGAGAGCACUGUUCGCCCUGAAGCUGUAGCUGCUCAACACGGACUACCUACGGCAGAGAGCACUGUUCGCCCUGAAGCUGUAGCUGCUCAACACGGACUACCUACGGCAGAGAGCACUGCUCGCCCUGAAGCUGUAGCUGCUCAACACGGACUACCUACGGCAGAGAGCACUGUUCGCCCUGAAGCUGUAGCUGCUCAACACGGACUACCUACGGCAGAGAGCACUGUUCGCCCUGAAGGACAUAGUGGCUCGGCAUCUUUCUGAGAGAGAUGUGUCUGAAGACCAGCCUAUGCCUCCCAGCCCUGUUCUCCAGGCUUCCGCCACCACAGAACUGACAUCCAGAAAGAUCAUGUUCUCAACGUAUGCUGAUUACUCAGGAAAGAGACAGAAAAUAAAUGUCUCAGAAGGAGGUGAAUGCAUGCUAUCUAUCGCCUCCCACCUUAAGCCAUUUACCAAUGAGGAUCUGGGUGCCUGUGAUGGUACUAACUCUUGCUUAACUGAGAUCCAGUGUGCACAAGUUGACACUCAACAACUUGACAGGCAGAUAAACAUUAUCAUGGCUGAGAUCCUUCCCAUUUUGAAGGAGCGUGUAGAGGAGGAGCUCUUCUUAUCUCCUGGCCUCCAUCAGACACAAGGUUCUGGCUCUGACAGAGUAAAGGGGCGGGAGCAAAGAAUUCAUCCGGUUCUUCCACAAACAGCUCAAUGAUGUUCUGCAGGAGACAAAAUCAUUGGCGGAACAACAGCCAUACCCGACAUCACUGGAAGAUGAAGAUAAAGACAAGGAUGAAGCAGAGCGGAGGGAGAAUGUGCUGAGGCAGGGGAAAGGAUGACUAGUUUGAAAGAUAACAGCUGCAAUGAUGCCUUAGAAGGAGAAGAAGUGGAAGAUCUGAAUGACAGUGAAGGACUGCUUCUAUCAAUAAACCUGUCUAAGGCAGACACCCAGGCUCUGACUAACUACAGCAGCAGAGAGGACGAGAAUGAGGAAGAGGAAGAAAAAGACUUAAAGGCUGAGCCUGAUGACGUCCAGACCUCUCUCCAAGCCAGUAACGACUCUCUCCAAGCCAGUAACGACUCUCUCCAAGCCAGUAACGACUCUCUCCAAGCCUAUAUAGUAUACUAUACUCUCCUCCUCCUGAGUUAUCAAGCCCUGAGUAACCAUAAUGGGGUCACAUGUAUUCAUUUAUCCUUUACAAUAGGGAGGGUCAGGAAAUGUAAGCCAAAAGUCGGAUGAGGAUGUUUUUGUCAAAGUGGAAGAUAUACCACCGCCGCAACAUCCUGAAGUUAAUAAGGAGGAGAUUCAAAAAAGUUGAACUGAAGAUCAGAAAAGCAGUUUGUCUGAGGUAGUUGAUGGAAAAAACAGUACCAACAAGAAAUCUCAAGCUUGACUCUGACGGUACAGGACAACUUCACAACAGUUGAAUCAAUUAUUAAAGAAAACAACAAUUCUGAAAACUCUUGAAUCUCUUAAAACGAAAUAUAACUUUUCAAUUACAGUAAUCCCAAGUUUGACACUUUUCUGAAUAUUCUUCUUCCCCUGUGAGACAAACGUAGAAUGUGAAAUAUUAAACAAACCUGAUAUAGUGAUAGUAAAACACUUUUAUGCCACAGUGUUUGUUUCAUCCAUGGAAGUGUCCCUGGCCUAGAGGCACGACGUCGUCUCAUUCUUCUCUUAACUGAUGGUUCACAGCAUACAUCAGCAAGGAAAGUGUUUCCAUAUCAAAAACAAAUCAAUACAUGAUCAAAUGUGAAACCUAGUGAUUUGUCGGUGGAUAGCUGUUUAUUAGAGAUCAGGAUGGGCUUCGGACAGAUUUUCCCUACAUCUCUUCUGUGUCUGAUUUUACAUUCACUGAAGCAAUCCACUGUAAUGAAGAAGAACGAUAUAACUGAUUACUCAACCAUGAUUCUCAUUCAAACACUCAGGGAUCAGUUUCUAUGGCUACAUGGAUUCUGAUACAGUUAGAGAUCUUUAUCUUAAUCUAACCAUGUUAUUUUAUGGUGGACUAAAUGUAUGUAGGCUGUGACGACCCUCCCACUCUGUCUGCCGUAUUCUCUCUUUGCUCUUUUUCCUUAUUAGG